GGGUGCACCAGGCGCGAAAACUCCACAAUGUACGGAAGUACGAUGGGGUUAUCUCGAGUGCAGUCCGAUAAGGGCUGCUUUUCCAUAGAGUAAUAUCCUGUGGGAAUAAGAGGGGGGCAAGACUGGUGUCAGCCGCCGCGGUAACACCAGCCCCUCGAGUGGUGGGGACUAUUAUUUGGCCUAAAGCGUCCGUAGCUGGCUGUAUCCGUCCCCCGUUAAAUCCAGCGUCCUAAGCGUUCGACCGCGGGUGAUACCACACAGCUAGAGGGUGGGAUAGGUGAGCGGUAUUUCUGGGGUAGGGGCGAAAUCCUUUGAUCCCAGGAGGACCACCAGUGGCGAAGGCUGCUCACUAGAACACGCCUGACGGUCAGGGACGAAAGCUGGGGCAGCGAACCGGAUUAGAUACCCGGGUAGUCCCAGCUGUAAACGAUGCUAGCUAGGUGUUGGGUCGGCCACGCGCCGCCCCAGUGCCGCAGGGAAGCCGUUAAGCUAGCCGCCUGGGGAGUACGGCCGCAAGGCUGAAACUUAAAGGAAUUGGCGGGGGAGC
Molecule: ribosomal RNA, 547 nt
Filed under: uncultured archaeon
Lineage: Archaea
Description: bacterial SSU rRNA
Rfam family: Archaeal small subunit ribosomal RNA
Source: RNAcentral